CCUACGGGAGGCAGCAGUGAGGAAUAUUGGUCAAUGGGCGUAAGCCUGAACCAGCCAAGUCGCGUGUGGGAUGAAGGUUCUAUGGAUCGUAAACCUCUUUUAUAAGGGAAUAAAGUGUGGGACGUGUCCUUUUUUGUAUGUACCUUAUGAAUAAGGAUCGGCUAACUCCGUGCCAGCAGCCGCGGUAAUACGGAGGGUCCGAGCGUUAUCCGGAUUUAUUGGGUUUAAAGGGUGCGUAGGCGGCCUUGUAAGUCAGCGGUGAAAGCCUGUGGCUCAACCAUAGAAUUGCCGUUGAAACUGGGUGGCUUGAGUAUGUUUGAGGCAGGCGGAAUGCGUGGUGUAGCGGUGAAAUGCUUAGAUAUCACGCAGAACCCCGAUUGCGAAGGCAGCCUGCCAAGCCACGACUGACGCUGAUGCACGAAAGCGUGGGGAUCAAACAGGAUUAGAUACCCGGGUAGUC
This 460-nucleotide ribosomal RNA is filed under the name uncultured bacterium. Its description in RNAcentral is "partial 16S ribosomal RNA". It matches the Rfam family "Bacterial small subunit ribosomal RNA", at positions 338 to 795 of the family's 1533-position model. The record is from RNAcentral.